RNAcentral lists this transfer RNA (74 nucleotides) under Verrucomicrobiaceae bacterium. Its description in RNAcentral is "tRNA-Gln". It matches the Rfam family "tRNA". Rfam says of the family: Transfer RNA (tRNA) molecules are approximately 80 nucleotides in length. Their secondary structure includes four short double-helical elements and three loops (D, anti-codon, and T loops). Lineage: Bacteria; Pseudomonadati; Verrucomicrobiota; Verrucomicrobiia; Verrucomicrobiales; Verrucomicrobiaceae. The record is from RNAcentral. RNAcentral also lists the same sequence under 1 other name.
UACCCCGUGGUGUAAUGGUAACACAGGAGAUUCUGGAUCUCUCGUUCAAGGUUCGAGUCCUUGCGGGGUAACCA